Molecule: microRNA precursor, 93 nt
Filed under: Canis lupus familiaris (dog)
Lineage: Eukaryota; Metazoa; Chordata; Mammalia; Carnivora; Canidae
Also listed under: 1 other name
Description: mir-8799 microRNA precursor family
Rfam family: mir-8799 microRNA precursor family
Source: Rfam by way of RNAcentral
GGGGGGAGUGCCAGAUCUUGGGCUGUGUCCCCCGGCGCUCUGUGCUACCGGGCCUGCACUGUUGGAAUUGCGCUCCCGGCUGCACAGCUGCCU